AAUCUAUGAUGUGGGCAUCUUUGGAUUAGCAUUUUAAAACACUCUCAAGCUUCAUGAAAACUUUCUCAUUCUAACUGUUUAAAGGUUGCGAUCUCACUCCUUAGUUG
Molecule: small nucleolar RNA, 107 nt
Filed under: Gossypium arboreum
Lineage: Eukaryota; Viridiplantae; Streptophyta; Magnoliopsida; Malvales; Malvaceae
Description: Plant small nucleolar RNA R71
Rfam family: Plant small nucleolar RNA R71
About the family: R71 is a member of the C/D box family of snoRNAs containing the C (UGAUGA) and D (CUGA) box motifs. Multiple nearly identical copies of this snoRNA have been identified in Arabidopsis, and it is thought to function as a 2'-O-ribose methylation guide for 18S ribosomal RNA.
Source: Rfam by way of RNAcentral